Molecule: ribosomal RNA, 526 nt
Filed under: uncultured bacterium
Lineage: Bacteria
Description: bacterial SSU rRNA
Rfam family: Bacterial small subunit ribosomal RNA
Source: RNAcentral
AGAGUUUGAUCCUGGCUCAGAUUGAACGCUGGCGGCAGGCCUAACACAUGCAAGUCGAACGGUAGCACAGAGGAGCUUGCUCCUUGGGUGACGAGUGGCGGACGGGUGAGUAAUGUCUGGGAAACUGCCCGAUGGAGGGGGAUAACUACUGGAAACGGUAGCUAAUACCGCAUAACGUCGCAAGACCAAAGAGGGGGACCUUCGGGCCUCUUGCCAUCGGAUGUGCCCAGAUGGGAUUAGCUAGUAGGUGGGGUAACGGCUCACCUAGGCGACGAUCCCUAGCUGGUCUGAGAGGAUGACCAGCCACACUGGAACUGAGACACGGUCCAGACUCCUACGGGAGGCAGCAGUGGGGAAUAUUGCACAAUGGGCGCAAGCCUGAUGCAGCCAUGCCGCGUGUAUGAAGAAGGCCUUCGGGUUGUAAAGUACUUUCAGCGAGGAGGAAGGCGUUAAGGUUAAUAACCUUGGCGAUUGACGUUACUCGCAGAAGAAGCACCGGCUAACUCCGUGCCAGCAGCCGCGGUAA